Non-coding RNA from Chiloscyllium plagiosum (whitespotted bambooshark), 2193 nucleotides. The record is from RefSeq and is a predicted model, not a curated record. NCBI's taxonomy places the organism in Eukaryota, Metazoa, Chordata, Chondrichthyes, Orectolobiformes, Hemiscylliidae.
ACAGGUAACUCCGCACUGACUCAGACCUGUCUACAGGUAACUCCACACUGCGACACACCUGUCUACAGGUAACUCUGCACUGACUCAUACCUGUCUACAGGUAACUCCGCACUGACUCAGACCUGUCUACAGGUAACUCUCCACUGACUCAGACCCGUCUACAGAUAACUCCACACCAACUCAGAUCUGUCUACAGGUAACUCCACACCGACUCAGACCUGUCUACAGGUAACUCUGCACUGACUCAGACCUGUCUACAGGUAACUCCACACUGCAACAUACCUGUCUACAGGUAACUCCACACUGCGACAUACCUGUCUACAGGUAACUCCACACUGCGACAUACCUGUCUACAGGUAAUUCUGCACUGACUCAUACCUGUCUACAGGUGACUCCACACUGACUCAUACCUGUCCACAGGUGACUCCACACUGACUCAGACCUGUCCACAGGUAACUCCACACUGGCUUAUACCUGUCCACAGGUGACUCCACAGUGACUCAUACCUGUCCAUAGGUGACUCCACACUGACUCAGACCUGUCCACAGGUAACUCCACACUGACUCAGACCUGUCUACAGGGAACUCCACACUGACUCAGACCUGACUACAAAUAACUCCACACUGCGACACACCUGUCUACAGGUAACUCUGCACUGACUCAGACGUGUCCACAGGUAACUCCGCAUUGACUCAGACUUGUGUACAGGGAACUCCAUACUGACUCAUACCUGUCCACAGAUAACUCCGCACUGACUCAGACCUGUCCACAGGUAACUCCACACUGACUCAGACCUGUCUACAGGUAACUCUGCACUGCGACACACCUGUCUACAGGUAGCUCCGCACUGCGACACACCUGUCUACGGGUAACUCCACACUGACUCAGACCUGUCUACAGGUAACUCAACAUUGACUCAUACCUGUCUACAGGUAACUCUGCACUGCGACACACCUGUCUACAGGUAACUCCGCACAGCGACACACCUGUCUACGGGUAACUCCACACUGACUCAGACCUGUCUACAGGUAACUCAACAUUGACUCAUACCUGUCUACAGGUAACUCUGCACUGCGACACACCUGUCUACAGGUAACUCCGCACUGACUCAUACCUGUCUACAGGUAAUUCUGCACUGGCUCAUACCUGUCUACAGGUGACUCCACAUUGACUCAUACCUGACCACAGGUGACUCCACACUGACUCAUACCUGUCUACAGGUAACUCCACACUGACUUAUACCUGUCCACAGGUAACUCUGCACUGACACAGACCUGUCUCUAGGUCUCUCCACAGUCUCACACACAGACUGCUGGGUGCUCCCCCUGAGCUGACUAUGCUUUAGUCGCUGAUUGUGAUUGGACUGCCUCUUAUCGGAGGGCCAUACAGGAGGAAGGUGAUGGUUCCAGCUGGUACCCCUCAAUAUUCCGAGCCUUCCAGCUGAUGCCAAGGGACCUUCAGCAUAAACCCAAACAUUUACCGGAAAAUGCCAACCUUUUCAGAGGUCUGUACAGAUCCCAAUCUCAGAAACAUAAACCCCAUCAAUCCAUGAAGAUAAACCUGGGAGAGUGAGUUCUCUCUCACUUAGCGUGGGACUUGGACAGAGACAGUGUCUUGCUGCGUGUGGAUCAGCAUCUACUGGCUGUGCAGUCAUUCAGCUCUCUCUCACUGCAGGAAUAUACCGGACCUGGUAUACAUUGGCUUGAGUUUGUUCUUAAGGUGUUCUCUGUGUCCAAGAAAACAGAGACUAAUCUUGUUCACUGGGGUGAACAAGGUCAGAUCCACAUCGGGCAGACCACUGUAGCAGGGCGGCAGAGAGUAUGGGGUUAAAGGGCCGACUCUCACUGAUGUACAGACACAAUCGGUGAGACUGCUGAGACUGUCCAAGAAGGACAGGGAAAGGACACUCACUCCACUCCAUUCCAUGGUCCUGCACUGAAUAUUCCCGAAGGAUUGGUGCAUCAUGAUGUAAAACCCCCAACAACCACAAACCUUUCUGAAGGUCAUCAUUACCAGGAGCAUGUGACACACACACUCUCCCUGUCCACUCAGAAUGUGCAGCGCAAUGGGUUGGGGGGUGGGGGGGGGGGUGUUCCAUCAUUUCAGAGGGGCAGUUCGAAAUCAACCCCAUUGCUGUGGGUCUGGAGCCACACAGAAUCUGAAUGGCCACACAAUAGGCCCAGAUUGGGUAAG